RNAcentral lists this long non-coding RNA (17870 nucleotides) under Capsicum annuum. RNAcentral describes it as "long non-coding RNA (CANN_LNC007157)". Lineage: Eukaryota; Viridiplantae; Streptophyta; Magnoliopsida; Solanales; Solanaceae. The record is from RNAcentral.
CGAUGUAUCACGUCUAUUCAUGCUAACAAAUUACAAGGAAGCUGAUUUCUAAUUCGACAUGUGCAACUAUGCUUGUGUAGUAACCUUUGGUUCUGUAAUAUUAUUAUUUAUGGUUCCGGGUUCCCACUCUUCUCCUUGUCUCUAGUUCUUCAAGUUCUGUUUUGGAAUCAAAGAUGUCAUAGUUUUAAAUUAAUGGUGUUGAUUAGAUUAAUUAAACCAAAAUGUUAAUCAUGAUUAGAAUUUCAUGUUUUUCCUUAUUAGAUUUCUAAACACUCCAACAAGUCCGCUUUCUAGAUUUUUGAAAUUACAAUAAUCCAUUUUUUCUACAUUUCAAUUAAAAACAUACACCUAAUCACAUAAAGCCAUAGAUUAUCAAGAAGAUUAAGUUCCUUUAUUACUAAUGCAGCUCUAGUUUCUUCUGACAGAUAACUAAAUUCAAUAAGUGAAUGCUCAUAUGUAUAGUAUCAAGAGAUUUGUGUUGUUUACUUACCUUGGCAAAUCUACAGAUGGUCUUCAGUUUUUAUUCUAUAGGUUAAUAAUGACUUACAGAGGCUGAUACAAAUUGGAUAACUUACGGGGUUGCAAUCGAGAGAGACUUCUCUAUGGUGAUUAACAAGAAAGAUGUAGAAAGAUAAAAAAUAGUGUAUGAGUAAAUGAUAGCUGAACAGAGAAGUUAAUGUAACAGUGAUUAGGCUAGUUAUACCUAAAUAGCAUAAAUAAAAAUUAGUUACACAUAUUUUGUAAGAGAGUUCAUUCUGUUCUUUUUCAUUCAUCUUCUCAUAGUCCAUUACUAUUUCAUUUGGGUUAAGAUUUAUCCUCAAACUGGAAAAAUUAAUAUUGUCCUUUAUCAUAUCUACUUCUAUUCACCCUUCACCCCGUACUACAUGAACCAUACACAACAUAAGAUUGAUGGUAAAAUCGUGGCCGCUGGCCCAGAGAGAGGGAAUUUCGGAAGGAAAAUUAGAAACUUAUACAACAUAGUCAAACUGUAUUGCUCGGACUCUUCAAAAGUGUAGCCGCACCGGUGUCGCAUCCUCCAAAAAUGCACUUCUUUGGAGGACCCAACACACAUCCAAUGGCAUAUUUGAAGAGCCAGAGGCAAUAUAGUAGUAAACUAUAUGGCGUCACAGCAAUGGAUGGAUUUCUCAUAGAGAUGAGCGUGAGUGCAUCAUAUUGAAAUCAGAAUAAGUAGAACUAUGGUCAAGGGAUGAGGUUGUGCUUUAAAUUGUCACUGAAAAAAGGGUUUUCGAUUGAUUGUCAGUUGAUAGCACCAAAACAUUUCAAUGGACUACCUCCUUCAUCCAUUAUCGGCCAGAAUACUUGACAAAUAAAUGUGGCAGCUUCAUCCAUUAUCGACCAGAAUGCUUGACAAAUAAAUGUUGCAUCUUCAUAAAUAAGAGUUAGUUACACAUAUUUUGUAAGAGAGUUCAUUCUGUACUUUCUCAUUCAUCUUCUCAUAUUCUCAUAUGCCUCUUCCAUAACCCAAAUCACUCUAAAAACAACACUUUCUUGUUACGCUGCCUCUACUAUAACCGAAAUUACUCUUGAGGACUAAGUAAUCGAGUCAAAAUCACGCCAAUUAACCAUACCCGCACACAUAAGAAACCACAACAUCAAUCCUUAUAAAACCACCAUGAAAAGGGCGAGGGUUAGCAAUAGUUUGACGACUAACGCAAGAACGAUCUAUAAAAACCAUCAACAAUUACGUACUAAACCUCAAACCAUUCUGAAACAAGGUAACAAAAUCCCUAACUAUUCAUUCACAUUUUGGGGAAAAUAAAGAAGACCCAAGACAUCCAUAGAUUCAAAUACCAUUUUACAUAUAAAUAAGAAAAAAAUUAAAACAACCUUACUUGAAAUGGAGAUAGCUUAUUUAGAUUUGGAGGAGAGAGUUUCAAAGCUAGAGAAUGAUAUUUCGAGAGAGUGGCGGCUUUGGGAGAGAGUGUUUGUGCCGAAUUUGAGAGAGGGUCGGUUUGAGAGAGCUGCCUAUUUCAUUUGGGGUUUUCUAUUAUUUUAAUUAUAAUAAUAAAUAAUAAAUAAUAAAUAUUAAAAAAGUUAACUAAAUAUAUAUUUUUCCCUUACACUUCAUAAAAUAGUGACACACAAUUAUUUUUGAUAAUAAAUAUUAAUUUAUUAAAAUUUUAGCAACCUCAUGAGGUCGCAAUGUUUAAAAUUUUAUUAUUAUUUUGACGCUAACUUUUCUCGCAUUUUAUUUUUGACCUUUUGAAGUCUCUAAUAUUGUGUCGUUCAAUUUAUUUUAUCAUUUACCGACUUCAUGAGGUCUCUUUUUUUAAAAGAUAAUUAAAAGAACAAACUGAAGGGAUAAGCGACCUCACGAGGUCUCUUAUUUUCAAUCUAUUUUGAGGUCUCUUUUUUUUGUCUCUUUUUAUAGCUGUUUUAGUAGUGUAUAAUAUCUGAAUAACUCUAACUAAUAAUCAAGGAAUUCCUAAUUUAUUAUAUCAAAAUUUGCAAUUUAUAUAUAGUGUGCAUUACUGAAGACCAUGAUGGUUAACCCAUAGUCAUGCCUCUCCAACCUUCAUGUAUUUUCAUUUUUCUUGUGACACCUAUUGGUCCCCUAAAACUUAUUAGUAUUUAAUUAAGCAAAAAUGAAAAUUGUAAUAUCUUAAGUGAGUAUAAAAUUUACUACAAAAUCUUUUUUUAGAAUGAUGAUGUUCGGACUAACUUGUAUGUAUCUCAAUUAAUUUUAAUUGAAGAUUAUUUUUCACCACCCACAAUAAAUAUCAGAUAACUAUAUCCACUAAGAUUGUUGAUUCUUUCGAUCAAUAUACAAAAAAAGUUCAAACAUGAUAUAAAUAUAUGUCGUAGAUAAUGCAACAUUUAAUGCAACAUGAAUAAAGUUCAAUAAUUUUGCUGAAGAUGUUUCACUUAAAUGGAAAGCUAAUAUAAUUUGGUAACAUGUUGAACAUCUCGACCAAAAGAAUUCGAUUCAGAAAAUAAAAAUCUAAAACAACCGCUCAUAUUAGAAUACACACCUUAGUUCUAAAUUGCACUCAAAUUUCAUUCAUCUCAGAUGAAUGUGACCAUAGAUGAAUGUGACCAUAAAUCACUAGAGAAAGGAGAAUGCACAAAAAAAUAGGUAGUUGCAACAGACAAUGUUAUAUCAUCUCGUCAAAUAAUUUAGUCGCCCAAUAUAUACACAGAAUGCCAUGUAUAUAUCGGCUAUGUUAUGUAUAUUAAUAGAGAGAGAGUAAAGUAAUUUAAAAAGUGGGAGAGAGUGUAAUUACUUUCAAAAGGAUUGGUAUUUAUGUUAUUUAUACUUGCUUUUUUCAACAACUUUUUUUUUAACUAAUCUAUUUUUUAAAAAACAAAUUAAAUGCAAUUGUGUGUGUAUAUAUAUAUACCUAAUAAUAAAGCGGAAAAGGACAAAAAUAACACCUAAAAUUAAAAUAAUUUCACAAAACUAGCACCUAAAUUUAAAAACACAGUGAAUAGCCAUUAAGGGAUGGGUACAUCACAAUUCGGCCCUUCCGUUUUAUGUACAAGACCUAGGGUAGGUAUAUUUUGGUUUAAACCGAAAAAAUCGAAAAACCAAACCGAAAUUUAAUUUUGAUUUCGAUUUUUCAGUUUUUCGGAUCGGAUUCGGUUUGUAAUUUUAAAAUUUCGAUUUUUCGGUUUGGUUUUUGUUUUUGUUUUUUUUUUAAAAUGGGUUUAACCAAAAAACCAAAAUUUUAUAAAUAAAUAAAUAGCAUAUAUAUUUUAUUAUAUAUAUAUAUAUAUAUUAUAUAUAUAUAUAUAUAUAUAAUAUAUAUAUAUAUAUAUAUCUAUUUAUGCAAGAUUAUAUUAUAUGUAAUGAUUAAUGACGUUAUAUAUUAUGUUAAGCUUAUGAUUAUUUUUUUUCAUUUCAUCCAUGUUGAGUUAUUUAUAUUUGGGAAUGAAAAAUAGGUUUGAAAAAAAUAUUUUUUCUAAAAAAAUUCAUCAAUUUUAAAUGCUCAGUUAUGAAAAAGAGUAGCUAACUACUUUAAUAUUUCAAAUCGAAAUAAAAAUCCGAAAUAACCGAACCGAAUUUGUAAAAAUCAAACCAAAUCGAAUUUAUUUUGAUUUGGUUACAGAUAUCAUUUUUGUCAAUCCGAAAACCGAUAUACCGAACCGAUAUUAAACAAUCAGACCGAACCGACCGAACGCCUACCCCUAACAGGGUCGAUUUUUUUAUUUUUAAUGGGCCCAUAUUUUUUUGCCUUCUUUUUUCCAUUCUUUGUUUGCUUUGAGAAAGUGAGAGGAAACUGACAACUCUUUCCACUCUCUAUGGAUUGGAAGAAAUUAUUGUCAUCCAAGACUUUGACUUUUCAGAACUUAACUUGCUGACAAUUAAAUUUCAAUUAAAAUACUUCAACUUCGUGACUUUGAGAAAAUAUUACGAGUCCGUCUAUCAUAUUUAUAUAUAAUAAUUAUACAGUUUCUAUACAUAUACAUAUUCUAUAUAAUAAUUAUAGCAUUUUUAUACACAUUCUAUACAAUUUUUAACAAUAAUUAUUAUUUAGAUACAUAUUUUAUACGACUCUAUAUAGUUUUUAUAUGCAUUCUGAAAAAUGUAUCAAUCUAGUAUAAAAGAGUAUCAAUUGAGUAUAUGGACACUUCAAGUGUAUCAAUGUAGUAUAAAAGUGUAUUAACAUGGUAUAAAAGAGUAUCAAUUGGGUAUAAGAACUGCAUAUGCUUGCAUAGAAUUUCCUUUCUCUUUUUUAAAAAGUGUAUCAAUAUAUUAUAAAAGUGUAUCAAUGUGGUAUAAAAGUGUAUCAAUUGAGUAUAGAGACUGCAUGUGCCCAAUUGAGCCAAAUGGCUAAAAAGUGGUAUUACUUUAGCCGACUGGCUAAGAAUGUCCACCUUUUCAAAUGUGAGCCAUUUUUUUUUAAAAUGACCAUCCCAUGUCCUUUCCCCAAUAAUAAUAAAGGGUAAAGGGCCUAAUGCAGUAGUGCCAAAGUAGGCAUAUUGACGUGCUGUCUGCUUUGACACUUUUUCAUUGGUCCUUUUUCCUCUGUUUAAUUUAUUUGUCUUAUUUUUUUAAUUUAUUAUAUAUUUCAGAAAUAAUUAUUAUAAGUCAUUUAGAUGUUAGAAAAUUAAUAAUAUUUAAUUAAAAAAGGUAAAGAUAUUUUUGACAUGUCUGUUUCAAUUGCUUCAACCACUAUUUUGUUAUAUCACUCCUAAUUAAUUAUUAUAAAUUAUUUACGUAUUAGAACAUUAAACAUAUUUAAUAAAAAAUAAAAUAAUCACUUAUGACAUAUCUGUUUCAGCCGAUUCAACCAUAAUUUCACUAUAUCACCCCUAAUUAAUUAUUAUAAGGCAUCUAAUUACUAAAACUUAACAAUAUUCAACAAAAAAGGUAAAAUAGAUAUAAAAUGACAACUUAACUCUUGAUGUUUUAAAAUAGACAUAAAAUGAUAACUUAACUCUUGAUGUUUUAAAUUAAGUUGACGUCUUAUAUGAGACUCACUUAAAAUUUUUUUCACAAGUAUUUUUUAUAGUAAUUUUGUUAUAUCACUUCUUAUUAGUUAUUAUAAGUCUUUUAAGACAUGCCUGCUUCUCUGUUUCAAUCAUGAUUUUACUAUAUCACCCUUAAUUAAUUAUUAUGGUCAUCUAAGCAUUAAAAAUUAUUAAUAUUUCAUAAAAAGGUAGAAUAGAGACAAAAUGAUAUGUCAACAUAAAAAAUUUGGUUGACUCUUGAAACUAUGUUAGUGCCACAAUUACUAUAUUAGCGUCACUUAAAUUGGAAUAGAAGAAAAACUAUUAUAAAUCACAAUAAUUAAAAUUUAAAUUAUUUUAAUAAUUGACUAUUUAAGAGACAAAACAAUAACAUAUAGUAUCUAAUAUAUAUAUAGAAAAUGUAUAAUUAUUGUAUAAAAUACGUAUUACUAUAAGAUAUGUAUAGAAUAUGUAUAGAAACUGUAUUAUUGUAUAACAUAUGCAUUAUAUUAAUAAUCGCAACUUAAGGUUGCGUAGAAUGUGUAUAGAAAUUAUAUCGUUGAUUUAUAACAAAUAUAUGAAUAGUUAUUGCACCUAAAGAUUGUAUAGGUUAUGUAUAAAAAUUGUAUAGUUAUCGUUAUGAUAUGUAUAAAAACUGUAUCAUUGUUUCAUAAAAAUAUAUUUUUUGGUUUCUUAUCCAUUGUCUGGUACCCGCAUUGGAGUCCGACUAAUCCGGAUUCGCGCCGUAUAGGGCCCCAUUCGGAGGGUAGCGCUCCCUUUCAAGGAUUUUUUCAUGCCUAGGGCUCGAAAAAGGUAGCCCCAUCCACUGCACCACAUCCUUUGAUGGUAUUUAAUACGUAAAAAUAUAUUUCACAAGACUGUAUUAUCUCAUGUAUGUAUUGUAUUAUAUAUUUGUAUCAAUGUUUUAAAAUACUCAAAUAUGUAUAUUAAUAAUAGAUUUGAAAGUUGAAGCAAUACAUUAGAAUAAGAAGAAAAAGAUACUCCCUCCAUUUCAAAAAUAAUGAUCUACUUUGACUUGACACAAAGUUUAAGAAAAUAAAGAAGACUUUUGAAUCAUGUGACCUUAAAUUAAAGUUGUGUCAAAUGUAUCAAAAUGCCCUUUAAUCUUGUGGUUCUAAACAUAACAUGUGGAAAGUUGAAAUUAAAAUAUUGCCAAAAAGGGAAAGGAGUCAUUCUUUUUGAAACGGACUAAAAAGAAAAGUAGGUCAUUUUUUUUGAAGCGGGGGGAGUGUCAUUUUUUAGAUACACGUUUCUUUUAUCAUAUAUUCAUUGAUAUUUUUUCUCCUUUUUAAAAUAUAUUUGAAAAAAUAUAUUUUUUUUUCUAUUUUGAUUGAAGAAAAAUGCUACUUAGUAUAUAAUUUGUGUUUAUAUGUAUAGUUAAUGUGUAUAUAUUGUCCAUUACCUAUAUAUUGACGAUACAUUUAUUACACACAAAUUAUUAUAUUCAAAGAAUUCAUACGAAAAUUUAUAGUGUAUUAAUUUUUUCUAUUCAAACUAUGAAUUAUUGAGAAAAAUAAAAAACACGAUUAAAUUAUACUCCCUCCGUUUAAAAAAGAAUGACCUACUUUCCUUUUUAGUUUGUUUAAAAAGAAUGACCCCUUUCAUUUUUUUGGCAAUAUUUUGAUUUUAACUUUCCACAUGACAUGUUUAUGAUCACAAGAUUAAAGAGCAUUUUGGUACAUUUGACACUACUUUAAUUUAAGGCCACAAGAUUCAAAAGUCUUCUUUAUUUUCUUAAACUUUAUGCUAAAUCAAAGUAGGUCAUUCUUUCUAAAAUGGAGGGAGUAUUUGAUUUCACAAAACAUAGAAGAGUAAUUUUUUAUUUUUAAAUAUGAACAACAAAUAACUAGAAGAAAUAAAAAACUAGCCAAAGAUUAAUAAAGANNNNNNNNNNNNNNNNNNNNNNNNNNNNNNNNNNNNNNNNNNNNNNNNNNNNNNNNNNNNNNNNNNNNNNNNNNNNNNNNNNNNNNNNNNNNNNNNNNNNNNNNNNNCCAGUAGAGACCAAAAUAAAAAUGAAGUGGGCAAUGAAAAUUGACGGCUAAAACAUGAGAAUUGUUAUGAAAUAUAAAACAAAUAAAGAAGAAGAGUAGAGAGAGAAGAUAUGAGACUUUUUUAUUUCUUAUGAGGAUUUCUUGAGGAGUCCUUGAGCAUGAUUUACAAUGAAGGCAAUCCUUCUAUUUAUAGGAGAAAUUUACCCCUAGUUUCUGACUAAAAGACAGAUACUUCAAAUCCUGACAGAUAUCAACUAGAUCUUGAUAGAUCUUAUUAGAUCUUAUCUAUAUAUGCAUUCACUAUAAUGUAAAUACAUUUAUAACACUCCCCUUGAAUGUCUAGUUGAUAGAUAAUGUGCCUCAUUAAAAUCUUACUAGAAAAAAUCAGUGGAAAAAAAUCUAGUAAAGGAAAAAGAGUACACAUUCUAACAAUACGCAUAUAGGCUGCCUCAUUAAAAACCUUAAAAGAAAAACUCAGUGGAGAAAACCUUGUAAGGAAAAAAGAGUAUAGAACGUAUUUUCUCCCCCUGAUGAGAACAUCAAUGAACUUUUACAUCCCGAUCUUGUGCACCAUCUUCUUGAAAGUUGCAAUUGAAGAAGACUUGGUGAAUAAAUAAGCCACAUUAUCACUUGAACAAAUCUAUUGCACAUUAAUAUCAUCAUUCUUUUGUAUCUCAUGUAUGUAGAAAAGUUUUGAUGAAGUGUGCUUCAUUCUAUCUCCUUUUAUGAAUCCUCUAUUAAGAAGUGCUAUGCAUGCUGCAUUAUUUCUGUAUAAAAUUGUGGAUGGAUUGUCACAUUUCAAAUUACAUUUUUCUCAAAUGAGAUGUAUCAUGGACCUCAACCAUAUACAUUCUCGGCUAGCUUAAUGGAUAACUAUUAUCUCAUCAUGGUUCAAUAAAGUGGCUAGAUAGGCUGCUUUGUAUAUCUCCAAGAUAUGACAGUAUUCCCACAUGUGAACAUAUUGUAUGUUUGAGACCGAGAUUUAUGUGGGUUAAAUAAAUACCCAACAUCAGCAUAAUCAAUAAGAUCAAGACUGCAACCUGUAAAGUAAUAUAAGAUCAUGUGUUUGAUCCUAUUUUGAGGUCUCCUAGUAGGAACAAAACUAUACCUUGCUAAUAAAUUAAUCAAAAAGGCUAUAUCAGGCCUUGUAGUAUUUGCAAGAUAUAUUUUGUCAAGUGACAAUAUUUAACUUUUCAUGUGUGACAUCAUGAAGUGUGUGGAGUGCAAAUCAAAUAAGUUUUCACUUACCAAGAUGCAUCCUUUCAUGUCACUUGAUAAAUAUUUCUAUGUCAGCAUGUUUAAAUUAACGUAGAAUUCAGAUCUUCGUAGUCUUUUACAAUAUUGAGCCAAUAUUGUAUCAAAGAUAUCAUUGAUGAUAUAUCAUUUUGUAUCGGUUCACAAUGUGGAAUAAUAUUUUGAGAUCUCAUUACUUCAUUAUUUUGGGGUACCUAAACCUCUCAUAAGGUUUCAUGAAGUUUUAUGUCGUAGGCUUUUCAAGAGCGCAUUGCCUUCUUAUUAUGAUUAUUUUCUCCUUAUCCUUUUUAUGGAUCAUUUCAUUUGGAAUGGAUUUGUCUACCAUGUUUUAUGCAUGCAUAGACUUUGUCCUUUAAGGGCAUAAAAUAGGAGCACUUGCAACUUAAAUAUGACAUGCUUCGGCAUUGACUUGAAUUAUCUUUUAAAUGAAGAUCUGAUGAUAAUUCCUUACAUAUUUCAUAGCUGCUUAUAAUCUACCCCUUAUGUUAGGAAAACUAACAUACAUCCUCUAUCUUCUUUGAGGAAUCUAUCUUUGUUCAUCAUGAUAUAUUUAUUAAUCGUAUACCACACAUUAAAACUAUUAGAUGAAAUAGUUGGUUCCUAACCUUGAACCAAUUGAGAGAGAAGAAAUAAUCAUAAUUUAUUGAUCUAAUGCAUACAAGUGUUAUUGUAUGCAACAUAUUGUAAUGCCCCAAGAACCUAUCCCGAGAUGUCACAUGGUGCUCAAGGCCACACGUGGCCUCAAGCUAACCCUCUAAAAUUGUCAUCACUUUUAGAACUCAUUAUAGCAGAAAUCAUGCUAAGAUAAAGAGGAAUAACCAUGUCAUGAACAUACUGAAACAUGAAAUAAUACUGCCCGUACAAAUAAAAUAUUGAAAUCUCUGUACACGCUGGUACACUAGUCUGACAAAGCCUCUACUACAUAGGACUGAGGAGCCAUUGGGACAGAUCCCUAACUGACUCAUACUAAACUGAAAGUAAACAACCAUCUAUUAACAAGACAAAAUUGGACACACAGGUCCUUGAACUAUGAGGACUCACCAACCCGCAGAAAUAUAGAUGAAGGUACUCAAAGAUCACUGUCGCUGCUGAGACUGAGCACCUGAACCUAUAUCAUGAGGAAAUAUAGAAUACAAAAGAGUAUGGGAGUCAGUACUUGGGAAUGUAAUGAGAAUAUAGGGGUGGAUGCAACAUUUUAAAUAAUAUCAUAAAUGUAUAAGAAAAUCAUGCAUGCUGACAAUAAUAACUCUCUUCGCUUGAAUUAUCUAAAACACUAUUUCGUAAGUCAUCAGUAAUAACAUAUGCUUCAUAAAUCUCAUAAAUCAUUUAGCUCAACUCAAACUCUUUGAAUCAUGACUUAGAGUGACUCAGUAUCUCAUGGUACUUAGAUCAUUAUGGACGUGGGAGUUUCUUACAACCGACAUAACUACUCCAUGUGAGCCGUAUAGAGUCCAACGUUUUGCCCUCCUAAGGAGAGAACCCCACAUUAGCAGAGCUGUCGUACUCUUGCCAGGGAGUACAACCUUAAUCUCAUCUUCACAAUCUCAUACUCGGCCUUUGGCCCACAAUUAUCAACAUCAAUCCUACGGUGGCAUGUAGUUUUCGGAAAAUACUAAAUUUCCUGCUUGGUGCAAAAUACUCCUCUCAGACUCAGCUCAGAACGCGUUAGGAAAUCCACCUCAAUCAAUAUCAACUCAUGGGUCUAUCAUGAUGACCAAAACAACAGUAUAUCUCAUCGGUAAAUUAUAUACGACUGUGGAUUCCUAACUCGACCCAAAAUCAAAACAAUCUUUCUCAGCAUCAAGUACCUUUGCUUAUCAAAUCAUUUCAAAUAUCAAAAGCUUCAAGGAAACAUCAUAGGACUCAUUCUCGACUUUCAAUCUCAAAUAUCGAUAUGUAUUCAAUAGUCAAAUCUCUCAUAGAAGAACAUAAAUCUUGACACUUAUCAUAAAUCACUUAGAAAUCAUCAAUAUAUAUAUAUAAUGACAAUAUACAACUCAUGGAGUAAAUACUCAAUUUAAGAAGCAUGAUGGUGAAAUAACCAUAAAUAUCAAGCUUAUUCAACUNNNNNNNNNNNNNNNNNNNNNNNNNNNNNNNNNNNNNNNNNNNNNNNNNNNNNNNNNNNNNNNNNNNNNNNNNNNNNNNNNNNNNNNNNNNNNNNNNNNNNNNNNNNNNNNNNNNNNNNNNNNNNNNNNNNNNNNNNNUAUAUAUAUAUAAAAAAUAGCAAUAUACAACUCAUGGAGUAAAUACUCAAUUUAAGAAGCAUGAUGGUGAAAUAAUCAUAAAUAUCAAGCUUAUUCAACUCAAGUCUCAUAAAUCAUUAAUAGAGAAAUUUGGGUGUAAACCCACUUGAAAUAUCAUGUAAAUCAAUAAUAGAAAGUAAAUCUUUAGGCACAAGAACGAAAGAAGUGUUCUUGUUCAAACCCCACAUACCUUAGAUUUAGAUUUUGAAGAUAUAGAAACUUGCUUGAAACUUCUUUCUCACACUUAUAGAUCAAGACCAUGUUGCCUUUGAAUUGAGGAGCUUAGUUCUUGAACAACUUGAAGAAAUUUAUGGGAGAUUUCUUGAAUUUCUUGGAGAUGAUUUGAUUUUUGGGUUCGGAAGAAACCCUAGGUUUCUAGAGAAUUCUUGAAAGAAAAUUGGAGAGAAAUGGAGAAAAAUGAUCUUUUCUUCUCUACAUAGAUAUAUAUAAGGCCACAAGGAGCGAAAAUGACCAAGAUGCCCUUUUAAAAAAUGCUGAAAUUUGCUGAUCUGACGGUCCGUCAGAUUAGCUGACGGUCCACUAGGUCGUCCAUCACUUGAACACAAAAAUUGGAAAGUUCUACCUCGACAUGACGGUUGACCUGACGGUCCGUCAGAAAAGUGACGGUCCACCAAGUCGUCCGUCACUUGAGGGCCAGAAAUGAGACAUUUUGUCUUGGUCUGAUGGACACCUUGACGGUCCGUCAACUUUGUGACGGUCCACCACUUUGACCGUCACACGACAUCCCAAAAAGGGAGCUACUUCCUUGGCUUGACGGGACACUUGACAGUCCACCAAGGACCUGACGGUCCACCAGGUCGACCGUCAAACUUGGGCUAUCCGAUAACAUUCAGUAAAACGGCCAUAACUCACUCACCCGAUGUCGGAUUUUGAUGAAAUUGGUAUUGAUGGAAAGCUUAUUCAAUGCUCUACAUGAAAAAAAGUGCAAAUUAGAGAAAUACAACAUGGUUUAAACAUCAAUCACUUUGGAAGUCAUACAUAUCCAUGUAAAAAGACAGAUUUAGGCUUAAGGAAUGAUCGAGGUAUUACACAUAUCAUAUUUCAGACCAACACAUGAAGUUUUGUUCUCCUUAGAAAUAGUUUAGCUAUUUAUCGAAAAUAUUCAAUGCCAAAAUAUUAUCAUUAAGAUGAAUUGUCAUGAUUACACAAUCUGAAAGUUAUGCUCUUAACAUAAUUUUAUUGAGCAAACAACUUUAUGUAUGUCAAACGCAGGUCGACAAUAAAUGUACAUGUGAUCAUCUUAUUAAUGCAUGUUUUCAACAUAUCACAUGAUAGAUGAACGGACCCAUAUUCACCUUUUAUAAUUUUUAUAUUUUGAGGGAUCCAAUCCCAACAUUAGUUAGUCCAACCAACUUAUCAUGAGAACACACAAUAUUAAAAGUAAUGAAUAAUUUUCUAAUUCUUCAAUAUAUGUUCAACACUCAGUAUGCAUAUCUUUGGGAUGUCGCAAUCGUUCAUGUUAAUUUAUGAACUUUUAUUCUAGCAAACUCUAAGUUUACCACGACAUGUAUCUUUUACUUUAGUAAAUUUCAGAUUUACUAUUACAUGAAUAAAUUUCAGAUUCACUACCUUAUAAGUAGAUUUCAAAUAACUCUUCUCAGUUAUUCAGCCUCUUUCGGAGGUAAAUUGUAAUACCAUCACAAUCAAGUGCACGUUUGCAUUAAUAAACUUCUCAUUCUCCAGAAAUGAAAUAUAAUCGUGCCUUAAACUUAUCAAAUUUUGAUAGUUUAUAACCUUUUUCAUGAUAUUUCUAAUUUAAGAGCAAAUCGAGGUGUGCAUAUAAUGUAGAUAAUUUUUCUCACAUAUCUUUCAGAGUAUAUCCUAUAUUGCUACCACAUUCACUUCUAGAAUUGAGCAAUUUUUCAUCUUUCAGACUUGUCAUAUAUUGACACCACAUAUUGCUACCACAUUCACUUCUUAGAAUGAAACAUAUUCAAUGGACAAGUUUCAACACCUUUUAUCAAGUACACAUUAUUUUGCCUUAGCAUCAUUAUAUCAUCAAUAUGGUGCAUUGCAAUUCAAACUCAACGUCUUAUCCAUAUAAAGGCGUCUUAGGCAUAAAUCAAUAGGACUUUAACCCAACAUCGUAUCAUCGCAGUACAUCGUAUUAAUUCGAAAUUGAUGUAUUAACCACAUCAAAUACUACUUAUGGGAACUUUUAAAUAUUGGUGCUUCAGAACUUUGCAGUACGACAAGAUUAGUUCAGGCUAUGUAAAACUACAUAGCAAAAGCAAAUUCAUAAAAUUUUCAACCUGCAGAAGACAAAUUAAAGGAAUAUAUAUAAAAGUUAAAUGGACAAAUUGUGAUGUGUUACGGGCACAAUCUCAUGAAUAAUGAAUAACUAUACGUGUAUAUAAGGAUUGAAAUUUAAUCAAUUGUCCUGGCAAAAGAAUAACUUAAAAUUCAAACCUAUUUAGCCAACUACCAGAGACAAUUAUCUUAAAUGCAUAUGCAUAUGUUUAUAUCUUUUAUUUUUCUUAAAAUUUGUAUUAGUAUUAAAGACUUGUGAUAUCUUCUACUAUAUAAUAUUACAAAGAAUAUUAACUUGAACAUAAAAAGAAAGAUACAAUAUUACAAGAAUAUUAACUUGAACAUAAAAAGAAAGAUACCACUUGAUAUUUUCUUUUCUCUUCACAGCUUAAAGUGCUCAAGUCAGAGUCUCGUACUGAGAACGUGUUAUAAAAUAUAAACCAAAUAAAGAAGAAGAGUAGAGAGAGAAGAGAGGAGACAUCUUUAUUUCUCACGAGGAUUUCUUGAGGAGUCCUUGAUGAUGAUUUACAAUGAAGGCAAUCCUUCUAUUUAUAGGAGAAAUUUACCCCUAGUUUCUGACUAAAACAUGGAUACUUCAAAUCCUAACAUAUAUCAACUAGAUCUUGAUAGAUCUUAUUAUAUAUUAUCUAUAUAGACAUUCAGUAUAAUGUAAAUACAUUUAGAACAAAAAUCAAAUUCCUGAGCCAUUCGGUGGGAUUAAUUUCAACCCUUAAAAAUCUAUAUCUAUAUCUAUCUAUAAUCUAUAAUCGAUAUCUAUAUCUAUAAUCUAUAUCAAUAAUCUAUAAUCUAUAAUCUAUAAUCUGUAAUCUAUAUCUAUAUAUCUAUAUAAUAUAAUAAUAUAUUAAAACUGUGAAGACCCUUAGAAGAGUGAUUUGAACUUUUUACCCUUCAUUAUAAAACUCUUUUUUAGACAAAAUUGUCUUUUCACUAUUUUUUAAUCUAUUAUUUAAUUAUUUUUUAUUAUAUUAACUAGACUUCUUAAAAUAUAUGAGACUCCUAAAAUAUAUGGUAGAAGAAUUAAUUACUAAUAUUUUCCUUUCUACUAGACUUUCUAAAAUAUAUGAGACUCCUAAAAUAUAUGGUAGAAGAAUUAAUUACUAAUAUUUUCCUUUCUACUAGACUUUCUAAAAUAUAUGGGACUCCUAAAAUAUACGGUAGGAGAAUUAAUUAAUAUUUUUAUUUUUACUGUUCAAUUGGAAAAAUACUCCUAAAUUAGGACUUUAUUAAGAAAAUACUUCUAUAAAUAUUGAGAUGUGCGUUAAACUAGAGAACAAACCGGUUUGCCUAUUAGGAGAAUAUGAAUGAUGCUGAUCUAACUUGAUUCGAUUGCAUAUCUAGAUUGGUGGAUGCUUGAUUUUCUAACUCUUAACUUCUUCAGUGUUUUUGUCAGCAUAAUAGAAUUUAACAUGUGUGUAUAUAUAUUUCUUCUUUGUUUUCAUUUAAAAUCAUUCUUUAGGAUCAAAAUUUUCGCUCAGACAAGAAUUAGUUGGAUCAAAAUCGAAGCUUUGUGAUCACUAUUAUAUUUUUUUAUAGUUUACAGGUUGUAGAUGAAUGUCAGUUGGCUUUGAAGAAUUUAUUGCGUAAAAGUUAGGUUUAAUUGUACUAUUUUAAUAUCUUUAUUAUCUUAUUAUUUUAUUUUAAUUUACAGAUGCUAGAUGAAUAUGUGUCGGCUUUGAAAUAUUUUUUUAGGUAAAGGUUAGGUUUAAUUGUAUUAUCGUAAUAUCUCUUUUUAGUUUGUAUUUUGUGAUAUUUUACAGUUCGUAGAUGAAUCUCGAUCGGCUUUGAGAAAUUUUUGUGUGUAAAAUUUAAGUUUAAUUGUAUUAUUUUGAUAUCACUUUUAUCGUAUUAUUUUGUUGCAGUUUACAGGUGAAAGAUAAAUGUUGGUUGGCUUUGAGAAUUUAUUUUAAGUAAAAAUUAGGUUUAGUUGUAUUAUUUUGAUAUCUCUGUUAUCGUAUUAUUUUGUUAUUAUUUACAGGUGGUAGACAAGUAUCGGACGAAUUUGAGAAAAUUUUUGUGUGUAAAAAAUAGAUUUAAUUGUAUUAUUUUGAUGUCUCUAUAAUUGUAUUGUUUACAGAUGAUAGAUGAAUGUCGAUCGACUUUUAAAAAUAUUUUUGAUAAAAAUUAGGGUUAAUAAAUAAAUUCUCCAACUUUACAUACUCAAAAGAUAUUAAAUUUAAUUAUUAUAUUCGUCUUUAUUAUUUAAACAAAUAUCCUAUUUAAUGUAAUGUUUGAAUUCAUUAAAGUGAGGUACGCGCGCAAGGCGUGUACACCUAAACUAGUUUAUAUAUCAACACCAAAAACUAGAAAUAUAUAAAUAUAAAAGAAAUAUAUAUUUAACUAUUUAAUAUAAACCUUAGCUGAAAAAUAAAUAUUUUAAAUUAAUAAUUAUUUAAUUAGUGAGCAGAUUAGAUUGAGAAAUAAAAUUAUUGGUGAAAUCAAAAAUAUAAUAUGGUCAAAUAUGCAUAAAUAAAUUAUUGAAUUGAUAUUCUAUUUCUUUUUUCUGUUUAUAUCUUAAAGAACUAUAUUUAUAAGUCGUAUGAAAAGAUAUUUGGCAUGUUGAGAAGUCGUGAUUUGAAAUUUGUACACACCUAAUUUUAUCCUUCCCAAAAAUCAAUUAACCCAUUUUUUACCUCACAUUAUCAUACACCCUCACCCAUGUGAUUAUACCCUUACAAAAAUAGCAAAAUUUCAAUAAAUUCGUAACAAAUUAAAUCCCUAAUUUUCUCUUAUCCUAACAAACUUUAUCUCAACUAACUAACCCCCUCAUUCCAUCCCCCACAUACCCUUAGCUACAUGUCCCCACCCCCACCCUACCUUACUAUUCCCUUUACACGUUCUUUUUCAUCAUUUUUCUUUUAAAAAGGGCAAUGGACACAUAACAGGGGAGGGGGAAUACACCGAAGCAAAAUGAGAUUUUCCAUUUUUAGAGGGGGGACUACAACACCACAAUAAGAAUAGAGAAACAACCAUCAUCUUCUCCAGGAGAAAAACUCCAUUUUUUUCUUUAUAUACACACUUCACACAUCAUCACAGAGGAAACCCAUCACCCAUAACAAAAAGGGAAUCCUCCAUUUGUUUCAAUGUACACAGAUUGACACGACAACAAUUUCAAACACACAGCAAAUCGACACAACACCAGCAGUAACAGUAUUACCAUUCUUACUGCUAAACAGAGACCCAAAUUUCCUUUGAACGCAAUCUAUACGCACUCACCGAGCAUACACACACUUCCAUCAGAUACACACAUAUACGAAUGAGAGAGAUCCUGAGAGAGAGGACAGAGAGAAGAGAAUAAGUAAGCGAGAAAGCUGAUCGGAGAAGUGACGAGAAAAAGAAAAAACUGAUCGGAAAAUAGUGAAACACCGGCGAGAAACAGACCUGUUCGUGUAAAGUUUGGUGUGGGUCAUUCUCUCUUAGCAAUUUUAGUUCGAAUUAGCAAAAAAUAGGAUUGGGUUGGAUAGCUGGGUUUUUCGAUUGGCGAGUUUUCUUGUGGAGGUUGAUUCGAGGUUUCGGACACGGAUCCUAUCUUUUUGAUCGAGUGAUACUUGAUUAUGAUAAUCAAUUGAGGUCCGAUUCUACUCCUUCACUUUUUUAUUUUUUUAUCUAUCGUAUUCGAUGCAUUGAAUUGAGUGUCAUUGCUUGAUAUUUGGUGGUGAUGAAUCAUUGUUUUUUUUGAUUUGUGGUUGGGUCCCUUGAUUAUGACUUGUAUAGUGAAAUGGUAUGUCGUUUGAGAAUUAAAAUGGGUUGUUUGAGGCGGAAUUGAAAUUGAUAAAAGUGAAAGUGUAUUUAUUUUGAUUCAUUGUUAGAGAUUUAAUUCAAAAUAAAUAUGGAUGUUGUUAAACGCAACAGUAUCAUGAUAGAGUAAAAUUCAUAGGCAAACGGUAGGUUGGGUAAGCAAAUUUUUAGAAAUUGUGGAAUAUUGAAUGCUUGAAACAUGUGUUGAAUGACUUAGUUUUAUUUCUUUUGAAUCAAAUAUAUCAGUGGCCGGGAAAUGCCCUGAGGUAUUUGUGUUUAUUCGACAGGAUUUCACCGAGGUAUUUUGUAGCCGGAGGAUGUUAGUGACAAAGGCCCGAGGCAUCGGGUGGAGCUUAGUCUAGGAUUAGUUUAGAAUAGGAUUUAUACUUUUUGCAUUUUUCUAUUUUGGACUGUAUAAUUAGAUUGGACACUAUAUUUUGGAUUGUUUUGUUUUGUUUGUUUGACUAAUUGUUUUACAUAUUUUUUGUGUGGUUUAUACAUUCAUCGUGCCAAAAUAGACGAUACAUUCCACAAAGAGACCGUGGCCAAACCACAGGAUCAGGGGGUUCCUAACACCUUCCCCUCGGUCAACAGAAUUCAUUAUCCGGAAUAUCUGUUCGCAGAUCAGUUUUAGAGUCAAACUAUUUUGAAAAAGGAUUUCCAAAGGUGACUUGACACACCCGAUUUAUGUCUAGUGGGGACUCUGAGUUAAUUGUAAAAUGAAUUUUUUUUGAAAUAAAUUUUUCAUUUUUGUCACUUUAAUAAUAAAAACCCUUUCAAACUUUAAAAUUAAUCUUUUUGGUUAAAAGGAGGUGUGAUAGCACUGGCGACUCUGCUGGAGAUUUUUCAGAAUUCAAGCUUAUUUUUGGAGUUGUACUGGCUUAGUUUGACACUAUGGAUGUAUAGACAUUUUGUUUGU